UGGUCUGCCACAAGAUGAUGUAAAAAGCG
Molecule: non-coding RNA, 29 nt
Filed under: Homo sapiens (human)
Lineage: Eukaryota; Metazoa; Chordata; Mammalia; Primates; Hominidae
Source: RNAcentral